CUGAAGUUUUCCCCCUACGGCAGAGAUUUUGUGGCAAGGAGCCGAAGAGCUGAUUAUGGAACCUCUCUAACUUCCCUAUCUCCUCGGGGAUGGAACCCUCCAGAAUGUUCUGCCGGAGAAACAGAUCGAACCUCUAAUAUACUCAGAUUCGAGAUCGUAAAGGUUCCUGGGGUUCCCCACCUCUUUGGGAAUGGAACCGGAGAGUUGAUUCACAUAGAGAUGUAGGAGGGUUAAAUUUCCGAUUGACGGAGGACCGGAGCCACAGAGAUUGUCUUUGUGGAGGUUAAGCUUCUGAAGCGGUUUAAUUUUCCCGAUUUCCGGCGGAAUGGCGCCACCUAACUGAUUUUUGAAAAGGUACAGUAUCCUGAGAUUAGUCAGGUUCCAAAAUGUGGCCGGAAUUUCGCCGGUAAAUCGGGUUGUAUCUGUGUAAAGCUCCAUGAGGUUGAGAAGAUUCCCAAUUUCUGGAGGGAUAGAACCAGAGAGCCGAUUUUCGUAAAGGAAGAGAGAAGUCAAGUUGGUCAAAUUGGCUAAAGAAAUGGGAAUAGGGAACUUCAAGAUUGUUGGAAUACAAAUUGGCCUAUUUCCCCAGGGAUUGAGCCAUUCAACUUGUUAUCAAACAAAUGGAGUGUCUGAAGGUUUGUCAAAAAUCUCACAUCCCUCGGGAUUGGACCUGAGAAUUGAUUGAUCGACAAAUCAAGAUAAACAAGUCCAGUAAGCUCACUUAUCUUGUUGGGUAUCGUUCCAGAUAAACUAUUCAUGCUAAGAUCAAGAAACUCAAAAUUUGAAAGAGAAGAAAAAGGAAAGUCAUGGAGCUUGGCGCUGAUACCUGAAUUUGUAAGAUUCAGACGGUUUAUGCUACCUCGGUGACAUGAUAUAUUGAUAUACCAUACCAGAAGCAGGGGAUAGAAGCAUUGGUGUUGACAUUAGGUUGAAAGGACCAUGAAGCUAGAAGGACAUUAUUGUUUUGGGUUAUAAAAGUGCAUUUCAAUUGCAGGAGGAGGGCUGAAGCUUCUUCAAUCGACGCAAAAGAACAAAGAGAACAUAACAGCGAAGAAGAUGAAAGAGAGAACACAUGAAAUUUUUAGAAGUUGAUGGCACUUCUACGUUUGUAGUUGAUGUGAGCUCACUAAUUGCAGUUAAUGUAUUUCGGAUGAUGCUAAUGAAGAGUUGGUGUUUGAUGAUAGAGAUGAAUGUAGUUGGGGAGAAAUUGCUAAGUCUUCAGGUCCAAAUGAAACUCUUUAUUCUCUUAAGCAUGCUUCUAAAGGAAAAGAGAAGGUAGGGAGUUCAAAGUCUAAGGGAAAGGGAAAGGGAAAGGGAAAGGAAAAGGUUCCCGAAUGUAGACUCGUGAAUGACGAUGACGUUGAUGAAGAAGCGUUUGAAGAUUAUGGAGUUAUUAAUUUUGACAAUUUGAAUUUGUGUGAUGAAGAAGAUGAUUUUGAGAUGGUGGAUUGAAUGAUUGAUUAUGAAUAUUGAAUAUGUGAUAUUUUAAUGACAAUUUGGCUUGAA
Ipomoea nil (Japanese morning glory) is the source of this 1506-nucleotide long non-coding RNA. RefSeq lists it as uncharacterized. The transcript is spliced from 3 exons. NCBI's taxonomy places the organism in Eukaryota, Viridiplantae, Streptophyta, Magnoliopsida, Solanales, Convolvulaceae. The record is from RefSeq and is a predicted model, not a curated record.